GGGCACAUGGUGUAGUUGGUUAUCACAUCCGCUUAGCACUGCUUCCGAGCAUGUGAAGAUGCGGGGGGUGCUGGGUUCAAUUCCCAGUGUGUCCA
This is a non-coding RNA of Trametes meyenii, 95 nucleotides long. Lineage: Eukaryota; Fungi; Basidiomycota; Agaricomycetes; Polyporales; Polyporaceae. The record is from the annotation of a GenBank genome assembly.